This 253-nucleotide ribosomal RNA is filed under the name uncultured bacterium. RNAcentral describes it as "partial 16S ribosomal RNA". It matches the Rfam family "Bacterial small subunit ribosomal RNA", at positions 524 to 776 of the family's 1533-position model. The record is from RNAcentral.
UACGGAGGGUGCAAGCGUUAUCCGGAUUUACUGGGUUUAAAGGGUGUGUAGGCGGGUCUAUAAGUCAGUGGCGAGAUCUCCGGGCUCAACCCGGAAACUGCCAUUGAUACUAUAGGUCUUGAAUAUUGUGGAGGUGGGCGGAAUGUGUCAUGUAGCGGUGAAAUGCUUAGAGAUGACACAGAACACCGAUUGCGAAGGCAGCCCACUACGCAACUAUUGACGCUGAGGCACGAAAGCGUGGGGAUCAAACAGG